GAAAAUAAAAGGAGGUCUUAUGGGUUUGGAACGACAUGAGGGUGAGUCAUUAAUGACAUAAUUUUCAUUUUUGGCUGAACUAACCCUUUAAUGCAUUGCUUCGAAGAUAUGUAUGCUCCCUGCCCUGUUUUUACAAUAAUUUAUGUGGAGAAAAUCUUUUAUAGAAUGUAUUACUAUGAAAUAUAAUUUGUGAUGACUCUUGUCUUUACUAAGGAGAGACAAUCCUGACUGCAAAAAAAUGGAUGCUGUCGAUCGAGGGGAGGGUCGUAAUCCCACCUGGUGCUCACAUGGCAGACUUCACCACUGCCUUGGCCGCUCUCUUCGCCUGUUACUAUGUAUUCAACCUAGAGUAUCAGGUGGAAGCCAGCACAACACUGGAGUUUGUUCAGAGGUUUUUAGUCAGGAUUAAUCCUGACUCCAACAAGUGCACUGCCAAGGAGCAGAUGAGCAAGACGACUGGGAGAGUGGUGAAGCGGAAGACUUCAUACAUGAACCCCCAUGUCAUCUCCUUCAUCAGGGACUUCACGGAGUUCUAUUUGCUAACUGACUAGAUACAGGGCUCCAACUAGGAUUCUAGGUCUCCAAGGUCAGGGCAUGCAAGAGGCCAUAGUGGCAGGGGAAGUUUAUUUUCCUUUCUGUUUUAAAUGUUCAUGCAAAUGUUAAAUUUUUUUUUUUUUUUUUUUUUUAAAUGUUCAAUGUUUUAUUUUAUUUCAGUAUUGCCAUAGUGUUAUUUAUUACUCUUUAGAAUGUGGUAAUAAUCAGUUAUUUAAAAAGCUUCAAAGUAGUUAAAUAUUUUGACCGUGUUGUAUCAAUUUGCGUUAUUGUUCUGCCAUAGCAACCAGUCAUGUGGAACUAAUGAAUGAACUAGUAACAGUUUGCUCUGUAACUUUACAAAACUUGUAAUGAAAUAGCCUCGUUUUGUAAAAUUUUCUUAAGUCAGUAAUUAAAUUUAGCAACAGUAGAAUACGCAGAUAAUUGACUUCACGCCAUUAAAAAUUACAAACACAGAAUGUUCGUUAACUUUGGAUGGCAUAAUGGCAUGUUGUCCAGUGUCAAUUAUCCCUUUAUGUUGUACCUGUUUUGUCAUUCCUGUUCACCAAAUGUUUUUAAAUAAAUAACUGUUAAC
Molecule: long non-coding RNA, 1126 nt
Organism: Carassius gibelio (silver crucian carp)
Lineage: Eukaryota; Metazoa; Chordata; Actinopteri; Cypriniformes; Cyprinidae
Exons: 3
Source: RefSeq, a predicted model, not a curated record